CAACAGGGAUUGCCCUAGUAACGGCGAGUGAAGCGGCAACAGCUCAAAUUUGAAAUCUGGCUCUUUCAGAGUCCGAGUUGUAAUUUGCAGAGGGCGCUUUGGCUUUGGCAGCGGUCCAAGUUCCUUGGAACAGGACGUCACAGAGGGUGAGAAUCCCGUACGUGGUCGCUAGCUAUUGCCGUGUAAAGCCCCUUCGACGAGUCGAGUUGUUUGGGAAUGCAGCUCUAAAUGGGAGGUAAAUUUCUUCUAAAGCUAAAUAUUGGCCAGAGACCGAUAGCGCACAAGUAGAGUGAUCGAAAGAUGAAAAGCACUUUGGAAAGAGAGUCAAACAGCACGUGAAAUUGUUGAAAGGGAAGCGCUUGCAGCCAGACUUGCUUGCAGUUGCUCAUCCGGGCUUUUGCCCGGUGCACUCUUCUGCAGGCAGGCCAGCAUCAGUUUGGGCGGUGGGAUAAAGGUCUCUGACACGUUCCUUCCUUCGGGUUGGCCAUAUAGGGGAGACGUCAUACCACCAGCCUGGACUGAGGUCCGCGCAUCUGCUAGGAUGCUGGCGUAAUGGCUGUAAGCGGCCCGUCUUGAAACACGGACCAAGGAGUCUAACAUCUAUGCGAGUGUUUGGGUGUCAAGCCCGAGCGCGUAAUGAAAGUGAACGGAGGUGGGAACCCGCAAGGGCGCACCAUCGACCGAUCCUGAAGUUUACGGAAGGAUUUGAGUAAGAGCAUGGCUGUUGGGACCCGAAAGAUGGUGAACUAUGCUUGAAUAGGGUGAAGCCAGAGGAAACUCUGGUGGAGGCUCGCAGCGGUUCUGACGUGCAAAUCGAUCGUCAAAUUUGGGCAUAGGGCGAAAGACUAAUCGAACUAUCUAGUAGCUGGUUC
RNAcentral lists this ribosomal RNA (872 nucleotides) under Curvularia hominis. RNAcentral describes it as "eukaryotic LSU rRNA". It matches the Rfam family "Eukaryotic large subunit ribosomal RNA", at positions 66 to 957 of the family's 3401-position model. Lineage: Eukaryota; Fungi; Ascomycota; Dothideomycetes; Pleosporales; Pleosporaceae. The record is from RNAcentral.